GUGGACAUAGCUCAGUGGUAGAGGUGUGUACUGCUAGUUUUGUUCUCCGGGUACAAAUUCUGAUAGAUUGAUAGCAUACGAUUGCAAAUCGUGAGGUCUGUGGUUCGACCCCGCAUGUUCACU
Molecule: non-coding RNA, 123 nt
Organism: Kockovaella imperatae
Lineage: Eukaryota; Fungi; Basidiomycota; Tremellomycetes; Tremellales; Cuniculitremaceae
Source: the annotation of a RefSeq genome assembly